AGUUUGACUCCUGGCUCGAGAACGAACGCUGGCGGCAGGCCUAACACAUGCAAGUCGAACGCCCUAGCAAUAGGGAGUGGCGCACGGGUGCGUAACGCGUGGGAAUAUGCCCUUCACUGCGAAAUAACGUUUGGAAACGAACGCUAAUACCGCAUAAUGACUCCGGUCCAAAGAUUUAUCGGUGAAGGAUUAGCCCGCGUUAGAUUAGCUAGUUGGUGAGGUAAUGGCUCACCAAGGCGACGAUCUAUAGCUGGUCUGAGAGGAUGAUCAGCCACACUGGGACUGAGACACGGCCCAGACUCCUACGGGAGGCAGCAGUGGGGAAUAUUGGACAAUGGGCGAAAGCCUGAUCCAGCAAUGCCGCGUGAGUGAUGAAGGCCUUAGGGUUGUAAAGCUCUUUUACCCGGGAUGAUAAUGACAGUACCGGGAGAAUAAGCCCCGGCUAACUCCGUG
Molecule: ribosomal RNA, 453 nt
Filed under: uncultured bacterium
Lineage: Bacteria
Description: bacterial SSU rRNA
Rfam family: Bacterial small subunit ribosomal RNA
Source: RNAcentral